CAGGACGAACGCUGGCGGCGUGCCUAACACAUGCAAGUCGAGCGGAGUUAACAAGAGGAAGUUUCGGAUGGAAUUUGUAAUUAGCGGCGGACGGGUGAGUAACGCGUGAGCGACCAACCUUGCACAGGGGGAUAACGGACCGAAAGGUUCACUAAUACCGCAUGAGACCACGGUGUUGCAUGACACAGAGGUCAAAGGAGCAAUCCGGUGCAAGACGGGCUCGCGUCCGAUUAGGUAGUUGGUGGGGUAAUGGCCCACCAAGCCUAUGAUCGGUAGCCGACCUGAGAGGGUGAUCGGCCACAUUGGAACUGAGAUACGGUCCAAACUCCUACGGGAGGCAGCAGUGGGGAAUAUUGGGCAAUGGGGGGAAACCCUGACCCAGCAACGCCGCGUGAAGGAAGAAGGUUUUCGGAUUGUAAACUUCUGUCCUUGGUGAAGAGAAGAAGACGGUAGCCAAGGAGGAAGCCCCGGCUAACUACGUGCCAGCCGCCGC
Molecule: ribosomal RNA, 493 nt
Filed under: uncultured bacterium
Lineage: Bacteria
Description: bacterial SSU rRNA
Rfam family: Bacterial small subunit ribosomal RNA
Source: RNAcentral